GGCCGGUUAGCUCAGUCAGUUGAGCGUAGCGCUAACAACGCUAAGGUUGCGGGUUCGAUUCUUGUUCAGUCCC
This 73-nucleotide transfer RNA is filed under the name Apaloderma vittatum (bar-tailed trogon). It matches the Rfam family "tRNA". From Rfam's summary of the family: Transfer RNA (tRNA) molecules are approximately 80 nucleotides in length. Their secondary structure includes four short double-helical elements and three loops (D, anti-codon, and T loops). The record is from Rfam by way of RNAcentral. Lineage: Eukaryota; Metazoa; Chordata; Aves; Trogoniformes; Trogonidae.